This 422-nucleotide ribosomal RNA is filed under the name uncultured bacterium. RNAcentral's name for it is "bacterial SSU rRNA". It matches the Rfam family "Bacterial small subunit ribosomal RNA", at positions 355 to 774 of the family's 1533-position model. The record is from RNAcentral.
UGAGGAAUAUUGGGCAAUGCCCGCAAGGGUGACCCAGCAACGCCGCGUGGCGGAUGAAUGUCGUAAGAUUGUAAACUCCUGUUAGAGGGGAAGAAUAGUACCGGUUGGACCGGUAUAUGACUGUACCCUCAGAGAAAGCCCCGGCUAACUACGUGCCAGCAGCCGCGGUAAUACGUAGGGGGCAAGCGUUGUCCGGAUUUACUGGGUGUAAAGGGCGCGCAGGCGGGAUAAAAAGUCAGUGGUGAAAUCCUACAGCUUAACUGUAGAACUGCCUUUGAUACUUUUAUUCUUGAGUUCGGGAGAGAGAGACGGAAUUCCAGGUGUAGUGGUGAAAUACGUAGAUAUCUGGAAGAACACCAGUUGCGAAGGCGGUCUCUUGGUCCGACACUGACGCUGAGGCGCGAAAGCGUGGGGAGCAAACA